UACGUAGGGGGCAAGCGUUAUCCGGAAUUAUUGGGCGUAAAGAGUACGUAGGUGGCAACCUAAACGCAGGGUUUAAGGCAAUGGCUCAACCAUUGUUCGCCCUGCGAACUGGGAUGCUUGAGUGCAGGAGAGGAAAGCGGAAUUCCUAGUGUAGCGGUGAAAUGCGUAGAUAUAUGGAAGAACACCAGUGGCGAAAGCGGCUCUCUGGUCUGUAACUGACGCUGAGGUUCGAAAGCGUGGGUAGCAAACAGG
This 252-nucleotide ribosomal RNA is filed under the name uncultured bacterium. RNAcentral describes it as "partial 16S ribosomal RNA". It matches the Rfam family "Bacterial small subunit ribosomal RNA", at positions 524 to 776 of the family's 1533-position model. The record is from RNAcentral.